GACGAACGCUGGCGGCGUGCUUAACACAUGCAAGUCGAACGCUGAAGCUCAGCUUUUGUUGGGUGGAUGAGUGGCGAACGGGUGAGUAACACGUGAGUAACCUGCCCCCUUCUUUGGGAUAACGCCCGGAAACGGGUGCUAAUACUGGAUAUUCACUGGUCUUCGCAUGGGGGUUGGUGGAAAGGGUUUUUCUGGUGGGGGAUGGGCUCGCGGCCUAUCAGCUUGUUGGUGGGGUGAUGGCCUACCAAGGCUUUGACGGGUAGCCGGCCUGAGAGGGUGAACGGUCACAUUGGGACUGAGAUACGGCCCAGACUCCUACGGGAGGCAGCAGUGGGGAAAAUUGCACAAUGGGCGCAAGCCUGAUGCAGCGACGCUGCGUGAGGGAUGGAGGCCUUCGGGUUGUGAACCUCUUUCGCUAAUGGUCAAGCCGCAACAAUGGUUGUGGUGAGGGUAGUGGGUAAAGAAGCGCCGGCUAACUACGUG
RNAcentral lists this ribosomal RNA (483 nucleotides) under uncultured bacterium. RNAcentral's name for it is "partial 16S ribosomal RNA". It matches the Rfam family "Bacterial small subunit ribosomal RNA", at positions 28 to 507 of the family's 1533-position model. The record is from RNAcentral.